Molecule: ribosomal RNA, 489 nt
Filed under: uncultured bacterium
Lineage: Bacteria
Description: partial 16S ribosomal RNA
Rfam family: Bacterial small subunit ribosomal RNA
Source: RNAcentral
AUUGAACGCUGGCGGCAUGCUUUACACAUGCAAGUCGAACGGCAGCGGGGUAGUGCUUGCACUACUGCCGGCGAGUGGCGAACGGGUGAGUCAUAUAUCGGAACGUACCGAGUAAUGGGGGAUAACCAAUCGAAAGAUUGGCUACUACCGCAUACGUCCUGCGGGAGGAAGCGGGGGGUCGCGAGACCUCGCGUUAUUCGAGCGUCCGAUCACUGCUGAGCUAGUUGGGGGGGUAAAGGCCUACCAAGGCGACGAUCAGUAGCGGGUCUGAGAGGACGUGCCGCCACACUGGGACUGAGAGACGGCCCAGACUCCUACGGGAGGCAGCGGUGGGGAAUUGUGGACACAGGGGGCAACCCUGAUCCAGCCAUGCCGCGUGGAUGAAGAAGGCCUUCGGGUGGUAAAGUACUUUUGUGAGGGAAGAAAAGGGAAGUGCUAAUACCACUUUUUGCUGACGGUACCGAAAGAAUAAGCACCGGCUAACUCCGU